Molecule: non-coding RNA, 15031 nt
Organism: Xyrichtys novacula (pearly razorfish)
Lineage: Eukaryota; Metazoa; Chordata; Actinopteri; Labriformes; Labridae
Source: the annotation of a GenBank genome assembly
GGCAGACAUUGUGCAUUAUGUGAGCUGAUAUUUGAGGAGUACAGACUUCCAUUUGAUACAUCCUUUACACAAUUAAGAAGCCACCAUCGUUCUUCUUUGGAUUUUCAUCCCGUGUAUUGCCUCGAGUCUGGUGCUUGGAUUUCUGUGAGAAAAGAAUUUCCGUGUUUUUUCUUGGACCAUGGCUCUUGGAUUAUCGUCCUACAGUCGCUGCGUGAAAUGGCGCUCUGGUUGCGGACAAAACUGGCAGCUUUUCCUUUUUCUCUUUUAUCUCAGCCAUGUGGUCAGCGGACAUAUACGAUAUUCAAUCCCAGAGGAGAUGAAGAAAGGCUCCCUCAUCGGUAAUGUAGCACAGGAUCUCGGUUUGGAUCUAAAACGUCUUCGUAGUGGCCGGGCCCGUAUCGUGACCGGAGAAAGCAUCCAGUACACCGAGCUGAAGACAGACAAAGGGACUCUGGUCGUGAAUGAGAGGAUAGACAGGGAGCAGCUCUGUGGAGACACGACUCCGUGUAGCUUCAGCUUCGAGGUGAUUUUAGAAAACCCGAUGGAGCUCCAUCAAAUAACAGUGGAAAUAACAGACAUAAAUGAUCACGCACCAAGUUUUAAACGAGAUAAAAUCCAUUUUGAAAUCAGUGAAUCUGCAAAUACUGGCGCUCGCUUUUCUUUACCUAGUGCAGAAGACCAGGAUGUGGGAGUCAAUGGACUCAGAGAAUAUUUCCUGACCGAGAAUGAGAAUUUUGCUCUAAAACAAAACUCACAUGCAGACGGAAAGAAAUAUGCAGAGAUGGUGUUACAGAAGCCUUUAGACAGGGAGACAAAUCCCAGUCUGUCUCUAAAGCUGAUAGCUGUAGAUGGUGGAAGUCCGCAGAGGUCUGGUACUGUAAAUAUAGAUAUCACUGUUCUAGACGCCAAUGAUAAUGCACCUGUAUUUAAUCAAUCUGUGUACAAAGCUACAGUGAUGGAAAACUCACCUAAAGAUACCUAUGUAACUACUGUUAAUGCCAGCGACGCAGAUUUUGGUUCAAAUAGUGUUAUUGGAUACUAUUUUUCAGAUCUUAACAGUGGUCUGAGUGAUGUGUUCACAAUUGAUGAAAAAUCAGGAAUAAUGUUUGUGAAAGGUUCUAUUGAUUAUGAAAAAGAUAAGAAAUUUGAACUCAGACUCGAUGCAAAAGAUCAGGGAGGUUUGACAGAUUCAUGCAAAGUAAUAAUCGAAGUAAUUGAUGUGAAUGACAACAAACCCACUGUUAGCGUGAUGUCCUUCACUAGUCCUGUGUCAGAGGAUUCUCCUCCAGGUACAACUAUUGGCAUUAUUAAUGUUAAAGAUCUUGAUUCAGGUGAUAAUGGACUUGUUAACUGUAGAAUUGAACAAAACGCACCUUUCAAGAUUAAGUCCAAUUUAAGGAAUUACUACACUUUGAUCACAGAUACUGUAUUAGACCGUGAAAGUGUUUCAGAGUAUAACAUCACUGUAGUUGCGACAGAUGCAGGACUUCCCCCUCUCAUCACAAAACAAACUUUUCAUUUGAAGGUCUCUGAUGUGAACGAUAAUGCUCCUGUGUUUCCAAAAGGUAGUUAUAGUGCGUUUAUUACAGAGAAUAACUCUCCAGGAGUGUCUGUUGUCACACUGAGGGCAGAAGAUCCGGACGAGAACCAAAACGCGAGAAUAUCUUAUAUCCUAGUAGACACUAAUAUCGGCGGGGCUCCAGUGUCUGAUUAUGUCUCAGUAAAUGCAGAAAGCGGGGUAGUGCACGCUGUGCGCUCGUUUGAUUAUGAGCAAAUUAAACAGCUGGUUUUCGUGGUCAAAGCUCAGGAUGGAGGCUCCCCUCCACUCAGCAGCAACGUGACAGUGAAGCUAAUAAUCCAGGACCAGAACGACAACCCUCCUCAGGUCCUGUACCCGGUCCAGACUGGUGGCUCUCUGGUGGCUGAGAUGGUUCCUCGUGCAGCAGAUGUGGGCUAUCUGGUGACUAAAGUGGUGGCUGUGGAUGUGGACUCUGGACAGAAUGCCUGGCUGUCGUAUAAACUGCAGAAAGCCACAGACAGGGCGCUGUUUGAAGUGGGCUUACAGAAUGGAGAAAUCCGAACUAUCCGCCAAGUGAGUGAUAAAGAUGCUGUGAAACAAAGACUGACUGUGAUAGUGGAGGACAACGGGCAGCCGUCUCGUUCAGCUACAGUCAUUGUGAACGUGGCGGUGGCGGACAGCUUCCCUGAAGUGCUGUCAGAGUUCACUGACUUUACACACGACAAGGAGUACAAUGACAACCUGACUUUUUACUUAGUGCUGGCUUUGGCUGUAGUGUCCUUCCUCUUCAUCACGUGUUUGGUGGUCAUUAUAUCAGUGAAAAUCUACAGAUGGAGACAGUCUCGUAUCCUGUAUCACUCCAGUCUUCCAGUGAUUCCCUAUUAUCCUCCACGUUACUCAGACACUCUGGGCACAGGGACUCUUCCACACGUGUACAAUUACGAGGUGUGCAGGACGACUGACUCGAGAAAGAGUGACUUGAAAUAUAUGCAGCCGAUGACUCAAAGUUUAGUAAGUGUGGACGGAGCUGAAGCAGAAACUCCACAGGUGGAAAAGCAACUUACAAGCAACUGUUCACAGAUGUCAACUCUGGUGAGUUAUGUUUGUCCUCAUUGUUAUUUAUCUAUUUAAUUCUAUUUUAGUUUAGUUAUUUUCACUGUGGUUUCUUUUUUUAUAAUUAGUAAAGCUUUGGCACAAGCACAGUUGUCGGUUGUGUGUUGCUGGAGCUGUCCCUGGUCCUGAAACACUUGAUGAAACACAUCUAAAGCAGUGUUUUUAUUAUUUUUUUCAACAUAUCUUAUUAUACUAUGAAAAAUAUGUGUGUGUGUGUGUGCAUGUGUGUGUGUAUGAAAAACUAUCAGUGCUUUCAUAAAAUCCACAAUAGGUUCACCAAGUACACAUGAAAUAACAAAUAGUAACAAACAAACUGCAACUGUUGUCACCUAAAUAUGCAUACAUUCAUCUCAAGAAUCUUCUCAACCAUAACAGCUUUUUUAUCACUAUAAGUUAGAGCAUGAAUCAGCAACGAUCUGUUUUGUCACUGUAGGUGAAUGUACACAUUUCAGGAGAUCUGGAAACUAUGCCACACUUGAAAACAAAGAGUAAAUGAGCUGUAUUUUCAGCUCUUAUUACCAUCCCCUGUCCUGAUUUAAAGGAAUACAUUUGCAGUUCGGUUUUCCCUUUUUACUCAAACACUUUUAGAUGUGCUUGAUGUGGAUUUUUUAUUCUAAACAAAUCAUCUUUGGCUCACUACAACAUCACUGUGCACUCCACGUUCAUUACCAUGAAUGAGCUCUGAGUGCCGCUGUUGAUACAUGACUGACUGACUGUCCUCAUGAGCUGAGCUGCGGUCCGCCCCUUGUAUUCAUUUCAGUGUUUACUGCUUCGAGAGAAGACGGUGUAGUCGGAGGUGAUUAGAGGUUUAGCAUUGAUCGUGGACUUCGUCAGAUAAAAUACUGGAACCUUCUCAUUUUAUGGAUUGAUUACAACAGUUUUGAUUGAAAAGGACUACGGCAUCUAUACCUCUGGAUUUAUAAUGUCUGUUCUUCUGAGCAGCAGUCGAGGAGGCCCAUGGCAAACGCUGGUUCUUAUUCUUUGUCUUUUCAAGCUGAGCUCAGUGAGGGGACAGGCUCGAUACUCUGUACCGGAGGAGCAGACAGAAGGCUCGUUUGUCGGAAACAUAGCUCGAGAUUUAGGUUUGGAUGUGGGGAGGCUCAUAUCAGGUAAAGCUCGUAUCAUUACUAAAGGAAGCCGGCAGUACGUUGAUUUAAAUCGGGACAAAGGCGUGCUUGUUAUUAAAGAGCGCAUCGACCGAGAGGAUCUGUGUGGUAAGACGACGCCCUGUAGCUUCAGCUUCGAAGUGAUUUUAGAAAACCCAAUCCAGCUUUAUCGAGUAACAGUGGAGGUAGUGGACAUAAACGACAACAGCCCGUCAUUCCCAAAAGAGGAGAUCAAUCUGAAAAUUGUUGAAAAUGCUGCAGCAGGUACUCGCUUUUCACUCGAGAGUGCAUUUGACGCCGAUGUCGGUAUUAAUGAUAUUCAAAAAUACACUCUAAAACCAUCAGAUCAUUUUAAAUUGGAGGUCCAGAACCAGCCUGAUGGAGAAAGAUUCAUCGAAAUGGUUUUACAAAACCCGUUAGACCGAGAGAAAGAGGAGACUCACACGCUCGUGCUGCUUGCCUCAGAUGGAGGAGAGCCUCGUAGAUCAGGGACAGUGCGUAUUCGUAUCACUGUGCUUGAUGCUAAUGACAAUGCACCAGUUUGUAGCCAACCUGUCUAUAAAGCAGAGGUCAGGGAGAAUUCUCCUCAAGGAACAGUGGUGACCACAGUGAGUGCUAAUGACGCAGACAAAGGCGUAAAUGGAGAAGUGGCUUACUCCAUCGCUCAUGUGGCCAGAGAGGCGAGGCCACUUUUUGAGGUAAACGCAAAAACCGGAGAGGUAAGAGUAGCAGGUAAAUUGGAUUUUGAGAAAUCUAAGACAUAUCAGUUAAAAGUUCAGGCUAGUGACCACGGGGGAUAUACAGACACGUGCAAAGUUAUAAUUCAGAUUAUUGACGAAAAUGACAACGUGCCCACAAUCCAGCUGAUGUCAUUUUCUAACUCGAUAUCCGAGGACUCUCCUCCAGGUACAACUCUAGCUGUGAUUAAUGUAGAUGACGAAGACUCUGAAGGUAACGGUGUUGUCAGGUGCUCCAUUAACUCAGACGUUCCUUUCAAAAUUGAGUCUUCAUUAACAGGAUAUUACACAAUAAUCACGGAAGACUUCUUGGACAGGGAAAGUGUUCCUGAGUAUAAUAUCACUAUCAUCGUCUGUGACCAAGGCUCUCCGCCUUUGUCCAGUAGUACUGUCAUUAAUGUGAUAGUUUCUGACGUGAACGACAGCCCACCCAAAUUUUCACAAACAGAGUAUAGUAAGACUGUCCAAGAGAACAACUCUCCUGGAGUUUCUGUGUUUACUCUCAGUGCUAGUGAUGCAGACUGGGGUCAAAACUCUCGUGUUUCUUAUUUCCUGGAGGAGAAAGAAAUUCAUGGAGUCGCUGUGUCAUCCUUAGUGUCAGUGAAUUCAGAAAAUGGCGCCAUUCAUGCAGUGAGGUCAUUUGAUUAUGAGCAGAUCAAAUGGUUUGAAUUUAACGUAACUGCCCGUGAUGCUGGGUCUCCUCCUCUGAGUUCAGUGGCUAAGAUAAAAAUGGUGAUCCAGGACCAGAACGACAACCCUCCUCAGGUCCUGUACCCGGUCCAGACUGGUGGCUCUCUGGUGGCUGAGAUGGUGCCUCGUGCAGCAGAUGUGGGCUAUCUGGUGACUAAAGUGGUGGCUGUGGAUGUGGACUCUGGACAGAAUGCCUGGCUGUCGUAUAAACUGCAGAAAGCCACAGACAGGGCGCUGUUUGAAGUGGGCUUACAGAAUGGAGAAAUCCGAACUAUCCGCCAAGUGAGUGAUAAAGAUGCUGUGAAACAAAGACUGACUGUGAUAGUGGAGGACAACGGGCAGCCGUCUCGUUCAGCUACAGUCAUUGUGAACGUGGCGGUGGCGGACAGCUUCCCUGAAGUGCUGUCAGAGUUCACUGACUUUACACACGACAAGGAGUACAAUGACAACCUGACUUUUUACUUAGUGCUGGCUCUGGCUGUAGUGUCCUUCCUCUUCAUCACGUGUUUGGUGGUCAUUAUAUCCGUGAAAAUCUACAGAUGGAGACAGUCUCGUAUCCUGUAUCACUCCAGUCUUCCAGUGAUUCCCUAUUAUCCUCCACGUUACUCAGACACUCUGGGCACAGGGACUCUUCCACACGUGUACAAUUACGAGGUGUGCAGGACGACUGACUCGAGAAAGAGUGACUGUAAGUUCGGCAGAGCUGGUAGUCAGAACGUGCUGAUAAUGGACCCCAGUUCUACAGGGACCAUGCAGAGGAUACAGAGUGAGAAGAGCAUCCUGGACGAACCAGACUCUCCACUAGAGGUCAGUUCAUGUGUGACAUGCUGUGUGAGCCAACAUACAUUUAAUUUUUUUACCUUUUGUAUUUUUCGGCUUGUAUUUACAACUGAAAAUUGACCCCUGACCCUUAGUUCAUCAGCUUUUUCAGCAGUUUUCUGUCUUACCAUCUAUUUUUAGGGAUACUCGUCAAUGGUUUUAGAACGUUAUGAUCAGGGUGGUGUCCUUCCUCCUACUGUUUAUCCAUAAGUCCCAGAAAAGUUAAUUUUGUAUGAUUUCAAUAACUCAUCAUAUGUCACACAAAUAUGUCUACUCCUUUUUAAAUUCUCUCCCUAUUUUUGUGUGUAUCGGAUCGUUUGGGAGGUGUUGGAAAGCUGUUUCCUUCACACUCAAAGAUUUCGGCAAGAACAACAGCGUGUUUGAGCUCAGGAUCAUAUUAUUUUUUUUAUGUUUGACCUUCCCCCGGAAGAAUAUAGUUAUGUGGAUUGUUGUUGUCUUUAAUCCCUUCCAUGAAAGUCCAAACCACCUCCUGAUAUCUGCAGAGAUAUUUCUGUGUUACAUGAUGUUCCUACGUUUGAACUCUAAGGGACGCUGUUGGUCAAUCAAACAUGAACUCUGUAAAGCAUCACCCCUCAGUCCCUCCCUGAACAGUGGAGCAUUUUAGAUGAGGCAGACAUUGUGCAUUAUGUGAGCUGAUAUUUGAGGAGUACAGACUUCCAUUUGAUACAUCCUUUACACAAUUAAGAAGCCACCAUCGCUCUUCUUAGGAGUUUCUUCCCGUGUAUUGCCUCGAGUCUGGUGCUGUGAUUUCUGUGAGAAAAGAAUUUCCGUGUUUUUUCUUGGACCAUGGCUCUUGGAUUAUCGUCCUACAGUCGCUGCGUGAAAUGGCGCUCUGGUUGCGGACAAAACUGGCAGCUUUUCCUUUUUCUCUUUUACCUCAGCCAUGUGGUCAGCGGACAUAUACGAUAUUCAAUCCCAGAGGAGAUGAAGAAAGGCUCCCUCAUCGGUCAUGUAGCACAGGAUCUCGGUUUGGAUCUAAAACGUCUUCGUAGUGGUCGGGCCCGUAUCGUGACCGGAGAAAGCAUCCAGUACACCGAGCUGAAGACAGACAAAGGGACUCUGGUCGUGAAUGAGAGGAUAGACAGGGAGCAGCUCUGUGGAGACACGACUCCGUGUAGCUUCAGCUUCGAGGUGAUUUUAGAAAACCCGAUGGAGCUCCAUCAAGUAACAGUGGAAAUAACAGACAUAAAUGAUCACGCACCAAGUUUUACACGAGAUGAAAUCCAUUUUAAAAUUAGCGAAACAGCUAAUACUGGCGCUCGCUUUUCUUUACCUAGUGCAGAAGACCAAGAUGUGGGAGUCAAUGGGCUCAGAGAAUAUUUUCUUACUGAGAAUGAGAAUUUUGCUCUAAAACAAAACUCACAUGCAGAUGGAAAGAAAUAUGCAGAGAUGGUGUUACAGAAGCCUUUAGACAGGGAGACAAAUCCCAGCCUGUCUCUAAAGCUGAUAGCUGUAGAUGGUGGAAGUCCGCAGAGGUCUGGUACUGUAAAUAUAGAUAUCACUGUUCUGGACGCCAAUGAUAAUGCACCUGUAUUUAAUCAAUCUGUGUACAAAGCUACAGUGAUGGAAAACUCACCUAAAGAUACCUAUGUAACUACUGUUAAUGCCAGUGACGCAGAUUUUGGUUCAAAUAGUGUUAUUGGAUACUAUUUUUCAGAUCUUAACCGUGGUCUGAGUGAUUUGUUCACAAUAGAUGAAAAAUCAGGAAUAAUUUUAGUGAAAGGUUCUAUUGAUUAUGAAAAAGAUAAGAAAUUUGAACUCAGACUCGAUGCUAAAGAUCAGGGAGGUUUGACAGAUUCAAGUAAAGUAAUAAUCGAAGUUAUUGAUGUGAAUGACAACAAACCCACUGUGAGCGUGAUGUCCUUCACUAGUCCUGUUUCAGAGGAUUCUCCUCCAGGUACAACUAUUGGCAUUAUUAAUGUUAAAGAUCUUGAUUCAGGUGAUAAUGGACUUGUUAACUGUAGAAUUGAACAAAAUUCACCUUUCAAGAUUAAGUCCAAUUUAAGGAAUUACUACACUUUGGUCACAGACACUGUAUUAGAUCGUGAAAGUGUUUCAGAGUAUAACAUCACUGUAGUUGCGACGGAUGCAGGACUUCCGCCUCUGACCACAAAACAAACCUUUAAUUUAAAGGUCUCUGAUGUGAACGAUAAUGCUCCUGUGUUUCCAAAAGAUAGUUAUAGUGCGUUUAUAACAGAGAAUAACUCUCCAGGAGUGUCUGUUAUCACACUGAGGGCAGAAGAUCCGGACGAGAACCAAAACGCCAGAAUAUCUUAUAUCCUCGUAGACACUAAUAUCGGCGGAGCUCCAGUGUCUGAUUAUGUCUCAGUAAAUGCAGAAAGCGGGGUAGUGCACGCUGUGCGCUCGUUUGAUUAUGAGCAAAUUAAACAGCUGGUUUUCGUGGUCAAAGCUCAGGAUGGAGGCUCCCCUCCACUCAGCAGCAACGUAACAGUGAAGCUAAUAAUCCAGGACCAGAACGACAACCCCCCUCAGGUCUUGUACCCGGUCCAGACUGGUGGCUCUCUGGUGGCUGAGAUGGUUCCUCGUGCAGCAGAUGUGGGCUAUCUGGUGACUAAAGUGGUGGCUGUGGAUGUGGACUCUGGACAGAAUGCCUGGCUGUCGUAUAAACUGCAGAAAGCCACAGACAGGGCGCUGUUUGAAGUGGGCUUACAGAAUGGAGAAAUCCGAACUAUCCGCCAAGUGAGUGAUAAAGAUGCUGUGAAACAAAGACUGACUGUGAUAGUGGAAGACAACGGGCAGCCGUCUCGUUCAGCUACAGUCAUUGUGAACGUGGCGGUGGCGGACAGCUUCCCUGAAGUGCUGUCAGAGUUCACUGACUUUACACACGACAAGGAGUACAAUGACAACCUGACUUUUUACUUAGUGCUGGCUUUGGCUGUAGUGUCCUUCCUCUUCAUCACGUGUUUGGUGGUCAUUAUAUCAGUGAAAAUCUACAGAUGGAGACAGUCUCGUAUCCUGUAUCACUCCAGUCUUCCAGUGAUUCCCUAUUAUCCUCCACGUUACUCAGACACUCUGGGCACAGGGACUCUUCCACACGUGUACAAUUACGAGGUGUGCAGGACGACUGACUCGAGAAAGAGUGACUGUAAGUUCGGCAGAGCUGGUAGUCAGAACGUGCUGAUAAUGGACCCCAGUUCAACAGGGACCAUGCAGAGGAUACAGAGUGAGAAGAGCAUCCUGGAUGAACCAGACUCUCCACUGGAGGUGAGGCCAUAGAUCUCGUAGUCACCUGGCAUAAAACUUUUUCAUGCUUUAAAUUACUCCUUGCUGUGUUAAACUUACGUUCUACCUACAAUUUGAAUACUCUUAUACUCUUUAAUGUUUGAAAAAGGUUGCUGUCUGUUAUUGCAGUCAUAUAAAAUUUCAUUUUAGGUCCAAGCAGAGUUACGUGUGAGAAAUCUUUCAUGUUGCCUGUAGAAGUGUUCAGCUCCUUUAUAUGGGAAUUAUGUUGCAGUAUUUGCGUCAUGGCAAUGUACAUAUUAGCCUAGUUUUCUAAAAGAGCAAUACCUGGUUGCUACGUUACUCCUUACUGAACUGCAUAUUCUCCUCUACUUUUUCUCUCCAUAUCAGCAGUUUUGUUACAUCUCAUUUCAAUUGUCAUCAGUUGUACAGUUACACAUUGUACUGUACAGCACUUACAGGUGAAUAAAAGUAAGCAGGAUCCCACCUGCUUUUCAAAGAGGGUUUUAGCCCUUUUUUUUUGUCAUAGAGGUUAUUUUCAUGUUGGACUGUGAGUGCCGCUGUUGGUCUACAAAGCACUUGUGGGGCUUUUCAGAUUCAGCUAAACCCACACAGCUCGUCUCACAGUUUUCUGUGGACUGCUGAGCAUUCGGUCCUCGUUUUUGCUUGUGAUUUUCCAGACCGCUGUAUUUGUUACAUCUGUGUAAAUCAAGCCGAUAUUAGCCAGAGGACGUUACUUUUUUCUACAGGUAUAAUAUUUUUCACACCAUGUUUUAUGCGAUAUUGAGUGGAUUGCUUCGGAAUAUGGCUUUUAUCAGCAGUGAGGUCACGAUAAAAAGGCAAGUACGGGCCAUCAUCCUUGUUUUCCUAUUUGACAUUGCUCUGUGUCAGAUACGCUACUCAGUUCGAGAGGAGAUGAGACAGGGCUCAUUUGUAGGAAAUGUGGCUGAAGAUUUAGGCAUCGAGGCUAAAAGGCUGGUAUCAGGCGGUGCCCGAAUUGUUAGCAGCGACAGCCGCGAGUAUAUAAAGCUGGAUGUAGACAAAGGGAUUCUUGUGGUGGGGGAAAGGAUAGACAGAGAGCAGCUCUGCGGGCAGACAUCGCCUUGUAGCCUGAAUUUUGAAAUUAUAAUGUUAAAUCCAAUGCAGUUACACAGUGUUGUAGUGGAAGUACUGGAUGUAAAUGAUAAUGCACCCGUGUUUCACGAAAAAGAAGUGCAUGUAGAAAUUGUCGAGUCUGCUCUUUUAGGGACGGAAAUAAUACAAGAGAGUGCUACAGACCCUGACGUGGGCAUUAAUGCUUUACACGGCUAUACGUUACACCCUACGACAUAUUUCAAUAUUAAAGUCAUGUCCAGCCCAAAUGGCCACAAAUAUGCACAGCUGUACCUCUCCAACCUUCUUGACCGUGAGAAAGAGGAAAAGCUGCUUCUCACGCUGACUGCUGUGGACGGCGGUGAGCCGCAACGAUCAGGGACGCUGAAAAUACAUGUAACUGUGCGAGACAUUAAUGACAAUGCUCCGAUUUUUACGCAAUCAAUAUUCAAGACUACUGUUAAAGAAAAUGUUUCAAAAGGGACCCUAGUGCUGAGUGUGAGCGCAACUGAUGCAGAUGAAGGGAUGAAUGGCCGUGUUACAUAUCACCUUAAUCGCAUGUCAGGUAAUUUGGCUGAACUCUUUAAUCUGGAUGAAAACAGCGGGGAUUUGACUGUAAACGGGGCCAUCGAUUAUGAAGAGAAUAAAAUCUUUGAGAUUGGUGUGCAGGCUAAAGAUCAAGGCGGACAAAGCACAUCUACCAAAGUAAUAAUCGAGGUAGCUGACGUUAAUGACAACCCCCCAGUGAUAACACUAACAUCGUUUUCUAAUGCUAUUGCGGAGGACUCCCCGAGUGGAACUACUGUGGCAAUCAUCAACGUGAAAGAUCUCGAUUCAGGCAAAAAUGGCAAAGCAGACUGCUCAGUUAACGGCCAUAUCCCGUUUGCAAUCCACUCAUCCCUAAAGAAUUAUUACACUCUGGUUACAAACGGCGUCCUCGACAGGGAGAGCAACCCUGAAUACAACAUCACUUUCACGGCUGUAGAUGAAGGGAGCCCACCACUGUCAACCAACAAGACUAUAACACUAAGAAUUUCAGACGUCAAUGAUAAUGCACCCGUGUUUGAACAAAAUUCUUAUGAGGCUCACAUCAUGGAGAAUAACUCACCGGGGUUAUCUGUAUUCUCUGUGAAAGCACAUGACUUGGACUCCGGCCUCAACGCACGUGUAUCUUACUUGCUCAUUGAUACUCAGCUGGGUGGAAAUCCUAUAUCCAGCUAUAUAUCAGUAAACGCAGAAAGCGGAGUUAUACAGGCUGUUCGAUCAUUUGAUUAUGAGCAAAUUAAAACGCUAAAAAUAUCAGUUAAAGCUCAGGAUGGAGGCUCCCCUCCACUCAGCAGCAACACCACAAUUAAUUUAAAUAUUCAAGACCAGAACGACAACCCCCCUCAGGUCCUGUACCCGGUCCAGACUGGUGGUUCUCUGGUGGCUGAGAUGGUUCCUCGUGCAGCAGAUGUGGGCUAUCUGGUGACUAAAGUGGUGGCUGUGGAUGUGGACUCUGGACAGAAUGCCUGGCUGUCGUAUAAACUGCAGAAAGCCACAGACAGGGCGCUGUUUGAAGUGGGCUUACAGAAUGGAGAAAUCCGAACUAUCCGCCAAGUGAGUGAUAAAGAUGCUGUGAAACAAAGACUGACUGUGAUAGUGGAGGACAACGGGCAGCCGUCUCGUUCAGCUACAGUCAUUGUGAACGUGGCGGUGGCGGACAGCUUCCCUGAAGUGCUGUCAGAGUUCACUGACUUUACACACGACAAGGAGUACAAUGACAACCUGACUUUUUACUUAGUGCUGGCUUUGGCUGUAGUGUCCUUCCUCUUCAUCACGUGUUUGGUGGUCAUUAUAUCCGUGAAAAUCUACAGAUGGAGACAGUCUCGUAUCCUGUAUCACUCCAGUCUUCCAGUCAUUCCCUAUUAUCCUCCACGUUACUCAGACACUCUGGGCACAGGGACUCUUCCACACGUGUACAAUUACGAGGUGUGCAGGACGACUGACUCGAGAAAGAGUGACUGUAAGUUCGGCAGAGCUGGUAGUCAGAACGUGCUGAUAAUGGACCCCAGUUCUACAGGGACCAUGCAGAGGAUACAGAGUGAGAAGAGCAUCCUGGAUGAACCAGACUCUCCACUGGAGGUGGGCCAUUGUAUUUCUCUUCUUAUCUCAGUCUGUGUUUUUGAGUUCAGAUUUCUUUUUUCUGCCCUACAAAGUUCCCGGAAUGGCAUUUCAGAACCACCGCUUCUGGACAGCUCCCACACUGGAGUUCGUCUUGUAAACCGCUACCCCUCUCCCUCCAUCUUUGGUGAAAAUUUUGUUUUUAAGUUUCCUUGAGGGGAUGUUUUCCUUUUUUUAAUCACAGAUGUUAUUGACAUUUUAAAAUUCCAAUAGACUAAAUCCUCUUUUCUCAGGUUCUAUGGGCACAUUUCUAUUUUAGUUGAGAUGUGUACUUUAUUAUUCUAAUUAUUUGUAUCAAACUAAGCAAUCAGAAUUCUCACUCAUCUACACUCAAGUGCUUGGCUUUUUUUUUUCUUAUUUUUUAGUUCUCUUCAUUUUAUUCAUGUUUUGGACAGUAAGGGACGCUGUUGGUCAGUAAAACAAGUCUUCAGAGUUGAGUAAGAGGAGGCAGAGCCCUCAUUUUCCUGCUUCAGCUGAGGGGGGGGAGUUAGAUUGAGCAUAUGCGGAGUACGACAGUGGAUUUAUACAGAACCAGGACUUGCAUUUAUGUGGAUUAUUUGUUACAGCUCUUUCGUUUCCGUUGGAUUUGCAGCAUUCUGUUUAUUUCACGUUUUACUGUUCGUGUAAUGGCGUCUGGAAAAGGAAAAGGGCGUAUGUGUAGCGGGUCUUUAUGGCGAUGUCUUGUGUUCCUUUUGUGUCUUAGUCACAUCGUAUCUGGCCAGAUCAGAUAUACAAUACCAGAGGAGCAAAAAACUGGCUCUCUCAUUGGAAACGUCGCUCAAGACCUUGGUUUGGAUUUACAAAGGCUUCGUUCUGGCCGUGCCCGUAUUGUGACACGGAAAAGCAUCCAGUACACCGAGCUGAAAGCAGACAAAGGCUUUUUAGUCGUGAAUGAGAGGAUCGACCGAGAGCAGCUCUGUGGAGACACGACACCGUGCAGCUUCACUUUUGAGGUGAUUUUAGAGAACCCCAUGGAACUGCACCGAGUAACAGUGGAAGUCACCGAUAUAAACGACAAUUCUCCCACAUUCAGAAAGGAGGAGAUUGCAUUUGAAAUAAGCGAGACGGCCACUCUGGGAUCCCGUUUUCUUUUACCGAGUGCUGAAGACGCAGAUGUUGGCACGAAUGGUCUUCAGAAAUAUAUUCUUACCACAAAUGAUAUAUUUGCUUUGAAGCAGCAUUCAAGUCCGGAUGGCCGAAAAUAUGCCGAGAUGAUUUUACAAAAACCUUUAGACAGAGAAAGCGAGCCAAAAUUAUCACUGAAGCUCAUUGCUGUCGACGGUGGAAACCCGCAGCGAUCCGGCACAGUAAAUAUAGGUAUAACUGUGCUGGAUGUUAAUGAUAAUCCUCCCGUUUUUAACCAGUCCCUGUACAGGGCUUCUGUCCUGGAGAAUGCGUCAAAAGGCACCUACAUUACGACAGUGAAUGCAAGUGAUGCAGACAGUGGAUCAAACGGGCUUGUCACAUACAGAUUUUCAAACUUGAAAGCGCAGCUGCUUGAUAUUUUUCAUUUAGAUAAAAUGACGGGAGCCAUCACACUCUUGGGGCAAGUGGACUACGAAAAAGAUAAGAAACAUGAAAUUAUGAUUGAGGCGAUGGACCAAGGGGGUCUUACAGAUUCAAGUAAGGUACUCAUUGAAAUUAUAGACGUAAACGAUAAUGCACCUGCUAUAAACGUAAUGUCGUUCUCCAGCCCGGUGCCAGAGGAUUCUGCCCCCGGUACCACAGUAGCAAUAUUAAAUGUGAUUGAUUUAGAUUCAGAGCAAAAUGGACAAAUUAUUUGUACGACGGACAAGAGUCUCCCAUUUAAGAUAAAAUCAACCAUAACUAAUUACUAUGUGGUGGAAACAGACUCGGCCUUUGACAGAGAACUUGUUCCGGAAUAUAAUAUAACAGUGAGGGCCACUGAUUAUGGAUCACCACCUUUAUCAAGUACAACAGUGCUGCGUCUGGGGAUCUCUGAUGUGAAUGACAACACCCCAGUAUUUGAUAAGGUGAGCUACGUCUCACAUGUAACAGAAAAUAAUCCUCCUGGACUGUCAAUAGCUUCCGUCAGAGCACAGGACAGUGACUGGAAUCAAAACGCGAGAAUUUCGUACUUUCUUGAAGAGACACAGAUAAAUGGUAGUCCGACUUCUUCUUAUGUCUCUAUUAACACUGAGACUGGAACUAUUCAUGCAGUGCGCUCUUUUGAUUAUGAGCAAAUUAAAACGUUGUCUUUUGUAGUCAAAGCUCAGGAUGGAGGCUCCCCUCCACUCAGCAGCAACGUGACAGUGAAAAUAGUGAUCCAGGACCAGAACGACAACCCCCCUCAGGUCCUGUACCCGGUCCAGACUGGUGGCUCUCUGGUGGCUGAGAUGGUGCCUCGUGCAGCAGAUGUGGGCUAUCUGGUGACUAAAGUGGUGGCUGUGGAUGUGGACUCUGGACAGAAUGCCUGGCUGUCGUAUAAACUGCAGAAAGCCACAGACAGGGCGCUGUUUGAAGUGGGCUUACAGAAUGGAGAAAUCCGAACUAUCCGCCAAGUGAGUGAUAAAGAUGCUGUGAAACAAAGACUGACUGUGAUAGUGGAG